Long non-coding RNA from Apis cerana (Asiatic honeybee), 1648 nucleotides. RefSeq lists it as uncharacterized. Lineage: Eukaryota; Metazoa; Arthropoda; Insecta; Hymenoptera; Apidae. The record is from RefSeq and is a predicted model, not a curated record.
AACUAUUUUUCUGGAAAUUUUUAUCAAUUCUGGAAUAUUUUUACCAAUUUGUAUUAUAAAAUUAACAAUUGUUUAUAUAGUAGAAUUUUAGAACAUACGUAAAUAUAAAUCUCACAUAUAGUUUCUCUCCAUAUUAAUUUUCAUAGUUUUGUUAUUUUGAAGAUUAUACUUUUUAAAAUUAUACGAUAUAAUUAGAAUACGAAGAAUUAUAAUAAUGCAGAAAUAUUUAAAUUCAUAAUAAUUUUGGUGUUUAAAUAUAUUGAUAAACAUUCGUAAUAAUAAUAAUAAUAAUGAUCCAUUUUAAAUAUAUCUUGUUCUAAAAUAAGAUUUAAUUGUCUAUAUUAAUGUUAUUUAACUAUAUUACGUGGAAAUCGACAAUGUGGAAUUUAUAAUGGUCUAAUCUCGUGAUUUGUCUUGUAAAAACAAAUUCUAUGACGCAGUGUUUAAAGAAUCAUGUGGAUAAAGAAAAUUCAUCAAUUCCGAAGCACACGUAACCUUAUUACGGACACGAUUGCCUUAAUUUUUUUCUGUAGAAGAUAAAAUCGAGAUAAAGGUCGAAAGAUCCGUGGAUUUGUUCAAUUGUCAUUAAUAAAUGCAAAAAUUUGUAAUGUAAUGUCAUCUCGUGUUUCAUUAGAAUCCAUUGCAUGCAUUGAAUCCAUAGAAUCCAUAGAAUGCAUUGUAUUUUCUUGUAAAAGUGGUGAAGAAAGUUUUGACUCUAGUGUUCUUAAAUGUCGUGAAAAAAUUCAUCCAAUAUGCCUGUCUGACACUGCACACUGUCAGAAUACACAGGCAGCCUUAAAAUGUUAUGCAGAAGCAUGACUUUACAGCUAUUCUAUUCUAUCAUUUUUAAAUGUAAGUAAUGAAACGGAACAAGAAAUUUGAUUGGAUUAGAUAUAGGAAUACUUUUGGUCCUUCGGUAAAACAUAUAUCUGAAAAUAUAAUGGCAAUAAAAUACUAAGCUUGGAUUAAAUGUCCAUCAGGUUAAAAUAUUCAUUUUUCUUUUUUCAUUAGAAAAUUAAAACAAACAGAAUCAAACAUUGUUAUUUUUGUUAUUCUUCUAUGAUUAUAAUCUUUAUAAUUUAAUAUUUAAUUACAAACAUAUUAAUUAUUUCCAAUAGAUAUUCUGUGAAUUUAUAUUUAUGUACAUUUUUAUGCUUUUUAUGUUUCAUUUGUGCAUUUUCCAAAUAAGAUACAAGAAGAAGAAUUUAGUUGUGAAUAUUAAUUUAGAUGAAAAUGAUUUAAGUAUAUCAAAAGAACAUUAAUAUCAAUGUAUCAUGUAACAAGAUGAACGAGAUAAAAUAAAAUUCCAUUAUUAAAUUCAUUUACUUUAAUUUCUCCAGGUAAGAUUUACAGUAACAUUAAGUCAUUAUUAUUUAAUUAUUAAUAAAUUAAAAUAUAGAAAAUUUUAUAUAACACAAACAAUUUUAUUAGGGAUUUAUUUUACUAUUUUAUAAACAAUUGAAUAUUUAAAUUCUUUUUUUUUUUUUUUUGCUUUAAUGAUAAAAUUUAUGAUUCUAUUUCUUUUUUUUAUUCAAUUUUUUUUAUAGCUAUUAGAUUUCAUGGUUUACAUGUACUAAUUGGAUCAUUUUUCUUUUAGUAUCUCCAUAUCGACUGUUAAAAAUUCAUUUUUGAAAUAAACAUAAUAUAA